Long non-coding RNA from Bombyx mori (domestic silkworm), 347 nucleotides. RefSeq lists it as uncharacterized. The record is from RefSeq and is a predicted model, not a curated record. NCBI's taxonomy places the organism in Eukaryota, Metazoa, Arthropoda, Insecta, Lepidoptera, Bombycidae. The transcript has 2 exons.
CGGGUACCAAUUUUUCUAAUGAAUUACGUACUCAACAAAUGUUCACGAUUGACUUCCACGGUGAAGGAAUAACAUCGUGUAAUAAAAAGUGAAACCCGCAAAAUUAUAAUUUGCGUAAUUACUGGUGGUAGGACCUGUUGUGAGUCCGCGCGGGUACCACCGCCCUGCCUAUUUUCUGCCGUGAAGCAGUAAUGCGUUUCGGUUUGAAGGGUGGGGCAGCCGUUGUGACUAUACUGAGACCUUACAACUAUAUCUCAAGGUGUGUGGCGCAUUUACGUUGUAGAUGUCUAUGGUCUCCAGUAACCACUUAACACCAGGUGGGCUGUGAGCUCGUCCACAAAUCUAAU